This 500-nucleotide ribosomal RNA is filed under the name uncultured Myrionecta. Its description in RNAcentral is "bacterial SSU rRNA". It matches the Rfam family "Eukaryotic small subunit ribosomal RNA", at positions 1210 to 1795 of the family's 1831-position model. The record is from RNAcentral. Lineage: Eukaryota; Ciliophora; Litostomatea; Cyclotrichida; Mesodiniidae.
AAAACUUACCAGGUCAAGACAUGGGCGUGAUUGACAGGCUAAUGACUUUUCUCGAUUCCAUGGAUGGUGGUGCAUGGUCGCACUUAGUUGGUGCAGUGAUUUGUCAGGUUUAUUCCGGUAACGAACGAGACCUCGGCCUUGUAAAUAGCUAUGCUGCUUACAGGGACAUUGGCGGCUACGCCAAGGAAGCUCGAGGCAAUUGCAGAUCUGGAAUGCCCUUAGAUGUCCUGGGUCGCACGCGUGCUACAAUGACGCCACGAACGAGCUUGCGUGAUGAAAGUUACGCAUAAUCAGCAGUCGGCGUCUUAAGGGAUAGUCUCUUGUAACUGUGGGACUCCAACUAGGAAUGUCUCGUAAGCACAAGUCAACAUCUUGUGUUGAUUACGUCCCUGCUCUUUGUACACACCGCCCGUCGCUCCUACCGAUCGAGUGUUUAGGUGAAUUUGAUGGACGUAAGGAAGUCAAAUAAACCUGAGCACUAGAGAAGAGAAGUCUACAUC